This is a non-coding RNA of Oryza glaberrima (African rice), 207 nucleotides long. Lineage: Eukaryota; Viridiplantae; Streptophyta; Magnoliopsida; Poales; Poaceae. The record is from Rfam.
AAAAAGACAAACCUUGGGUUUCCGUGUCCAACGUUUGACUGUCCGUCUUAUAUGAAUUUUUUUUAUAAUUAGUAUUUUUAUUGUUGUUAGAUGAUAAAACAUGAUUAAUACUUUAUACGUGACUUGUCUUUUUAAUUUUUUUCAUAAUUUUUUCAAAUAAGACGGACGGUCAAACGUUGGACACGGAAGCCCAGGGUUUGUCUUUUU